GGAGGCUGGCGGUGGACGUGCACCCCGCCAACCCGGUCAGGUCCGGAAGGAAGCAGCCGUAACGGGAUUCGCCCGGGUCAUUGUCAGUCUCCCAC
Molecule: signal recognition particle RNA, 95 nt
Filed under: Alphaproteobacteria bacterium
Lineage: Bacteria; Pseudomonadati; Pseudomonadota; Alphaproteobacteria
Description: signal recognition particle sRNA small type
Rfam family: Bacterial small signal recognition particle RNA
About the family: The signal recognition particle (SRP) is a universally conserved ribonucleoprotein involved in the co-translational targeting of proteins to membranes. Archaeal SRP consists of a 7S RNA and homologues of the eukaryotic SRP19 and SRP54 proteins.
Source: RNAcentral